This 253-nucleotide ribosomal RNA is filed under the name uncultured bacterium. RNAcentral's name for it is "partial 16S ribosomal RNA". It matches the Rfam family "Bacterial small subunit ribosomal RNA", at positions 524 to 776 of the family's 1533-position model. The record is from RNAcentral.
UACGUAGGGUGCAGGCGUUAAUCGGAAUUACUGGGCGUAAAGCGUGUGUAGGUGGUUUUCUAAGUCAGGUGUGAAAUCCCCAGGCUCAACCUGGGAACUGCAUUUGAUACUGGAAGACUAGAGUGUGGUAGAGGAUAGUGGAAUUCCCGGUGUAGCGGUGAAAUGCGUAGAUAUCGGGAGGAACAUCAGUGGCGAAGGCGGCUAUCUGGACUAACACUGACACUGAGACACGAAAGCGUGGGGAGCAAACAGG